Molecule: ribosomal RNA, 492 nt
Filed under: uncultured bacterium
Lineage: Bacteria
Description: partial 16S ribosomal RNA
Rfam family: Bacterial small subunit ribosomal RNA
Source: RNAcentral
AGUGAACGCUGGCGGUAGGCCUAACACAUGCAAGUCGAACGGCAGCACAGUAAAAGCUUGCUCUUACGGGUGGCGAGUGGCGGACGGGUGAGGAAUACAUCGGAAUCUACUUUUUCGUGGGGGAUAACGUAGGGAAACUUACGCUAAUACCGCAUACGACCUACGGGUGAAAGCAGGAGAUCUUCGGACCUUGCGCGAUUGAAUGAGCCGAUGUCGGAUUAGCUAGUUGGCGGGGUAAAGGCCCACCAAGGCGACGAUCCGUAGCUGGUCUGAGAGGAUGAUCAGCCACACUGGAACUGAGACACGGUCCAGACUCCUACGGGAGGCAGCAGUGGGGAAUAUUGGACAAUGGGCGCAAGCCUGAUCCAGCCAUACCGCGUGGGUGAAGAAGGCCUUCGGGUUGUAAAGCCCUUUUGUUGGGAAAGAAAAGCAGCAGGUUAAUACCCCGCUGUUCUGACGGUACCCAAAGGAUAAGCACCGGCUAACUUCGUG